Molecule: ribosomal RNA, 422 nt
Filed under: uncultured Actinomycetes bacterium
Lineage: Bacteria; Bacillati; Actinomycetota; Actinomycetes
Description: bacterial SSU rRNA
Rfam family: Bacterial small subunit ribosomal RNA
Source: RNAcentral
GCGGCCUAUCAGCUUGUUGGGGAGGUAACGGCUCACCAAGGCUUCGACGGGUAGCUGGUCUGAGAGGAUGAUCAGCCACACUGGGACUGAGACACGGCCCAGACUCCUACGGGAGGCAGCAGUGGGGAAUCUUGCGCAAUGGGCGAAAGCCUGACGCAGCCACGCCGCGUGCGGGAUGAAGGCCUUAGGGUUGUAAACCGCUUUUAACAGGAACGAAAAUGACGGUACCUGUAGAAUAAGGUGCGGCCAACUACGUGCCAGCGGCCGCGGUGACACGUAGGCACCAAGCGUUGUCCGGAUUUAUUGGGCGUAAAGAGCUCGUAGGCGGUUCAGUAAGUCGGGUGUGAAAACUCUGGGCUUAACCCAGAGACGCCACUCGAUACUAUUGUGACUAGAGUUCGGUAGGGGAGACUGGAAUUCCU